RNAcentral lists this ribosomal RNA (482 nucleotides) under uncultured bacterium. RNAcentral describes it as "bacterial SSU rRNA". It matches the Rfam family "Bacterial small subunit ribosomal RNA", at positions 594 to 1070 of the family's 1533-position model. The record is from RNAcentral.
GUGAAAGCCCUGGGCUUAACCCAGGAAGUGCAUUUGAAACUGCUUUACUUGAGUAUGGGAGAGGAGAGUGGAAUUCCUGGUGUAGAGGUGAAAUUCGUAGAUAUCAGGAGGAACAUCUGUGGCGAAGGCGACUCUCUGGACCAAUACUGACGCUGAGACGCGAAAGCGUGGGUAGCAAACAGGAUUAGAUACCCUGGUAGUCCACGCUGUAAACGAUGAGAACUAGGUGUAGCGGGUAUUGACCCCUGCUGUGCCGAAGUUAACGCAUUAAGUUCUCCGCCUGGGGAGUACGGCCGCAAGGCUAAAACUCAAAGGAAUUGACGGGGGCCCGCACAAGCGGUGGAGCAUGUGGUUUAAUUCGACGCAACGCGAAGAACCUUACCUGGGUUUGACAUCCUUUGACCGCCAUGGAAACAUGGUUUUCCUGAUUUAUCAGGACAGAGUGACAGGUGCUGCAUGGCUGUCGUCAGCUCGUGUCGUGA